GCAAGUCGAACGCAGUAGCAAUACUGAGUGGCAAACGGGUGAGUAUAAUGUGGGUAUCUGCCUUUUGGUUUGGAAUAACAUGAGGAAACUUGUGCUAAUACCGAAUAAGCCUUCACAGGGAAAGUUUUAUACGCCGAAAGAUGAGCCCGCACUUGAUUAGUUUGUUGGUGAGGUAAAAGCUCACCAAGACAAUUAUCAAUAGCUGGUCUGAGAGGACGAUCAGCCACAUUGGGACUGAGACACGGCCCAGACUCCUACGGGAGGCAGCAGUAAGGAAUCUUGCACAAUGGGGGAAACCCUGAUGCAGCGAUGCCGCGUGAGUGAAGAAGGCCCUUGGGUUGUAAAACUCUUUCGUCGGGGAAGAAAAUGACUGUACCCGAAUAAGAAGGUCCGG
Molecule: ribosomal RNA, 394 nt
Filed under: uncultured bacterium
Lineage: Bacteria
Description: bacterial SSU rRNA
Rfam family: Bacterial small subunit ribosomal RNA
Source: RNAcentral